GGCGGCACAUUAGCGUGUGUCGGGCCGUUAUGCCUUGACGAGUAGGAGGGUCGCGGCGAUGUGCGCAGAAGGGUCUGGGCGUGAGCCUGCCUGGAGCCAUCGUCGGCGCAGAUCUUGGUGGUAGUAGCAAAUACUCCAGCGAGGACCUGGAGGACUGACGUGGAGAAGGGUUUCUUGUGAACAGCUGUUGCACAAGAGUCAGUCGAUCCUAAGCCCUAGGAGAAAUCCUAUGUCGAUGGGAAGCCGUUGAAGUUGACGGGCGCGCGUCAGCGCGCUUCCGAUAUGGAAGGCAACCCACGGGGCGAAAGGGAAUCCGGUUCCUAUUCCGGAACCCGGCUGCGGAACCGUUCCUAAGCGGGCCCUCAUCUGAGUGCUCGACGGGGCAACCCGAAGAGACCCGGAGACGCCGGCGGGAGGUCCGGAGAGAGUUUUCUUUUCUCUAUAAGCGUUCGAGUUCCCUGGAAGCCUAUAGCAGGGAGAUAGGGUUUGGAACGCGAAGAGCACCGCAGUUGCGGCGGUGUCCGGAUCUUCCCCUCGGACCUUGAAAAUCCGGGAGAGGGCUACGCGGAAUGUCCGCGCCGGAUCGUACCCAUAUCCGCAGCAGACCAUAUCCGCAGCAGGUCUCCAAGGUUAAGAGCCUCUAGUCGAUAGAAUAAUGUAGGUAAGGGAAGUCGGCAAACUUGAUCCGUAACUUCGGAAAAAGGAUUGGCUCUGAGGAUCGGGGCGUGUCGGGCUUGGUCGGGAAGAGGGUUUGUGCCAACGUGCCGGGCCUGGGCGAGGUGAACGAGGUCUUCCUCGGGAUCUGAGCUCGGUCCCGUGCCUUGGCCUCCCUCGGAUCUUCCUUGCUGCGAGGUGUUGACUGUCUGUCGCGGGUAACCACUUCGGUGGCCCCGAAGGACGGGUCUCCUAUCUCUUCGGCCGCCAUUCAACGAUCAACUCAGAACUGGCACGGACCGGGGGAAUCCGACUGUCUAAUUAAAACAAAGCAUUGCGAUGGCCCCCACGGGUGUUGACGCAAUGUGAUUUCUGCCCAGUGCUCUGAAUGUCAACGUGAAGAAAUUCAAGCAAGCGCGGGUAAACGGCGGGAGUAACUAUGACUCUCUUAAGGUAGCCAAAUGCCUCGUCAUCUAAUUAGUGACGCGCAUGAAUGGAUUAACGAGAUUCCCGCUGUCUCUAUCUACUAUCUAGCGAAACCACUGCCAAGGGAACGGGCUUGGAAAAAUUAGCGG
RNAcentral lists this ribosomal RNA (1229 nucleotides) under Leptataspis bukidnona. RNAcentral describes it as "partial large subunit ribosomal RNA". It matches the Rfam family "Eukaryotic large subunit ribosomal RNA", at positions 1357 to 2400 of the family's 3401-position model. Lineage: Eukaryota; Metazoa; Arthropoda; Insecta; Hemiptera; Cercopidae. The record is from RNAcentral.